AUCAAAAAAAACGUUGUAGUUGAAAUCUGUCAAAUAUUAGAAAAUAAAUAAAAUAAACAACUUCUGGUGAAAAAUUAUUAUGGAUGUAUGAUCAUUUGGAAGAAUUAUUUACAAGAAAGUUUUCAGGUUUGUAAUGGAUUUUGAAGCAGUUGCAGUGGGGUUAUUCUUUUACAUAAUUUGCGUUGCAUUGUUAAUACUCGUUAACGAAAUUUUUUGUAAAAGAGCUUGCUUGGACAAAGCUCGGCGAGUUGCUGACGGAGAGUACAACGAAAGUCUAUCUAAAAUACCUCCAAGAAUAAUGAAAUACACUUGCAUACCAAUUACAAAACCACCGAAAUGUUCUCCAGGAAGUAGAGAAAUAAAUUAUACAUUGGUUACUUAAAUAUAGCAACUUGACACUAGAUGGCGUUAGUAAUAUUCGAUAUAUCUUUAAUUUUAUGUUUUGUAUGUAAUAUA
Molecule: long non-coding RNA, 456 nt
Organism: Papilio polytes (common Mormon)
Lineage: Eukaryota; Metazoa; Arthropoda; Insecta; Lepidoptera; Papilionidae
Exons: 3
Source: RefSeq, a predicted model, not a curated record